ACUAAUACUAGCCCUUAUAUUUAUUAAUUAAAUUAUUUUAUUAUAUAAAUUAAAUCAUUUAACUUAUUAAAAGUAUUGGAGAAAGAAAUUAUAAGACAGGAGCAAUAGAGUAAGUACCGCAAGGGAAAGAUGAAAGAACAAUUAAAAGUACAAAAAAGCAAAGAUUAUACCUUGUACCUUUUGCAUAAUGAAUUAACUAGAAAAAAAUUGACUAAAAGAAUUUAAGCCAAAUACCCCGAAACCAAACGAGCUACCUAAGAACAAUUUUAUGAAUCAACUCGUCUAUGUUGCAAAAUAGUGAGAAGAUUCUUAGGUAGAGGUGAAAAGCCUAACGAGCUUGGUGAUAGCUGGUUACCCAAAAAAUGAAUUUCAGUUCAACUUUAAACUUACUAAAAGAACACCAAAUCCACACGUAAGUUUAAAAUAUAGCCAAAAGAGGGACAGCUCUUUAGGAAAGGAAACAACCUUUAAUAGUGAAUAAACAUUAAAUAUUUAUAAAACCAUUGUAGGCCUAAAAGCAGCCACCAAUAGAGAAAGCGUUCAAGCUCAACAUUAAUUUUUCUCUAAUUCCAUAAAAAAAUAAUCAAUUCCUAUUAUAAAAAUUGGGUUAAUCUAUUCAUAUAUAGAUGAGAUACUGUUAAUAUGAGUAACAAGAAUACUAUUCUCCAAGCACAAGUGUAUAACAACUCGGAUGUCCAUUGUUAGUUAUCAAGUCAUAGAUGAAAACUACAAAUUAAACUUUCUAAAUACUAUUUGUUAGCCCAACACAGGAGUGCUCUAAGGAAAGAUUAAAAGAAAUAAAAGGAACUCGGCAAACAAGAACCCCGCCUGUUUACCAAAAACAUCACCUCUAGCAUAAAAAGUAUUAGAGGCAUUGCCUGCCCAGUGACUAGAGUUCAACGGCCGCGGUAUCCUGACCGUGCAAAGGUAGCAUAAUCACUUGUUCCUUAAUUAGGGACUAGUAUGAAUGGCUAGACGAGGGUUCAACUGUCUCUUAUUUCCAAUCAGUGAAAUUGACCUUUCAGUGAAGAGACUGAAAUAAAUUAAUAAGACGAGAAGACCCUAUGGAGCUUUAAUUUGUCAGUUUAAUUAUUACUAUUUAUUAACCUAAUGGUUUAUAUAUCAAUAAUCUAAACUUAAAAUUUCGGUUGGGGUGACCUCGGAGAAAAAAGAAUCCUCCGAAUGAUUAUAACAUAGACCUACAAGUCAAAGUAAACAACCUUAUCUUAUUGAUCCAAUUCUUUUUUUGAUCAACGGACCAAGUUACCCUAGGGAUAACAGCGCAAUCCUAUUUAAGAGUUCAUAUCGACAAUUAGGGUUUACGACCUCGAUGUUGGAUCAGGACAUCCCAAUGGUGCAGAAGCUAUUAAUGGUUUCGUUUGUUCAACGAUUAAAGUCCUACGUGAUCUGAGUUCAGACCGGAGUAAUCCAGGUCGGUUUCUAUCUAUUAACAAUUUCUCCCAGUACGAAAGGACAAGAGAAAUGGGGCCACCUUAUAAAUAAGCGCCCCAAACUCAAUUUAUGAAAAAAAUCUAAAUAAAGUAAGUACGUAUAUUUAUAGCCUAGACAAGGCA
RNAcentral lists this ribosomal RNA (1574 nucleotides) under Apodemus peninsulae (Korean field mouse). Its description in RNAcentral is "16S ribosomal RNA". It matches the Rfam family "Bacterial large subunit ribosomal RNA". Lineage: Eukaryota; Metazoa; Chordata; Mammalia; Rodentia; Muridae. The record is from RNAcentral.